CCUACGGGUGGCAGCAGUGGGGAAUUUUCGUCAAUGGGCGCAAGCCUGAACGAGCGAUGCCGCGUGAGUGAAGAAGGCCUUCGGGUCGUAAAGCUCUUUUGCGGGGGACAAAAGUCAGCAUCAGGACAUGAGUGCUGACUGAUGGUGCCCCGCCAGAAAGUCACGGCUAACUACGUGCCAGCAGCCGCGGUAAUACGUAGGGGGCGAGCGUUAUCCGGAAUGAUUGGGCGUAAGGGGAGCGCAGGCGGUCCUGCAAGUCUGGAGUGAAACGCAUGGGCUCAACCCAUGCAUGGCUUUUGAAACUAGAGAACUGGAGAGCAGGAGAGGGCGGUGGAACUCCAAGUGUAGCGGUAAAAUGCGUAGAUAUAUGGAAGAACACCAGUGGCGAAGGCGGCCGCCUGGCCAGUUGCUGACGCUGAGGCACGAAAGCGUGGGGAGCAAAUAGGAUUAGAUACCCGAGUAGUC
This 465-nucleotide ribosomal RNA is filed under the name uncultured bacterium. RNAcentral's name for it is "partial 16S ribosomal RNA". It matches the Rfam family "Bacterial small subunit ribosomal RNA", at positions 338 to 795 of the family's 1533-position model. The record is from RNAcentral.